This 402-nucleotide ribosomal RNA is filed under the name uncultured bacterium. RNAcentral's name for it is "bacterial SSU rRNA". It matches the Rfam family "Bacterial small subunit ribosomal RNA", at positions 355 to 774 of the family's 1533-position model. The record is from RNAcentral.
CAGGGAAUAUUGGUAAUGGGCGAAAGUCUGAACCAGCAACGCCGCGUGUGCGAUGAAGGCCUUCGGGUCGUAAAGCACUUUUUGGAGGGAUGAGGAAGGACAGUACCUCCAGAAUAAGCCUCGGCUAACUACGUGCCAGCAGCCGCGGUAACACGUAGGAGGCAAGCGUUAUUCGGAUUUACUGGGCGUAAAGCGCGUGCAGGCGGUUCGGAAAGUUGGAUGUGAAAGCUCCUGGCUUAACUGGGAGAGGUCGUUCAAUACUUCCGGACUUGAGAGUGGGAGAGGGAGGUGGAAUUCCGGGUGUAGUGGUGAAAUGCGUAGAUAUCCGGAGGAACACCAGUGGCGAAAGCGGCCUCCUGGCCCAUUUCUGACGCUCAGACGCGAAAGCUAGGGUAGCAAACG